Long non-coding RNA from Parasteatoda tepidariorum (common house spider), 223 nucleotides. The record is from RefSeq and is a predicted model, not a curated record. Lineage: Eukaryota; Metazoa; Arthropoda; Arachnida; Araneae; Theridiidae.
AUUUAUUUCAUUUAUAAUGCAAGGACAAUACCAUGUUAGAACCAACUUCUUAUAUCCAAAAUGUAAAUUCCAAAUUACAAUUCAUCGUCUUUUAUCCAAUAAAGUUCAUGACAACAAGGUGAAGAACAACAUGGCCAAAUAUGAAAUCAGCAAAAGCUCUUUCUGGAGUGAUGUUGCCAAAAUGACUGCUGUUUUGAGAAUUUACUUGCAAUCGAAGACAAAC